RNAcentral lists this transfer RNA (86 nucleotides) under Chloroflexota bacterium. Its description in RNAcentral is "tRNA-Ser". It matches the Rfam family "tRNA". From Rfam's summary of the family: Transfer RNA (tRNA) molecules are approximately 80 nucleotides in length. The record is from RNAcentral. Lineage: Bacteria; Bacillati; Chloroflexota.
GGAGAGGUGGCCGAGUGGUUUAUGGCGGCGGUCUUGAAAACCGUUGGGCGAAAGCCCCGGGGGUUCGAAUCCCUCCCUCUCCGCCA